UAACCAGCAUAUAGAGACCAUCUCUCCCUGAUGCUGCUGAAUAGAUAUGCAGUUCACCGUCCUUCCUGUGUGCAAAACACAGUUACACUAAGGACAAGAACUCAGGUGGAUCUGGUGGCUUCUGAGAAGUCCUGAUGAAUAUAGAUGAAGAUACUCAUGGAGCAACCAGAGAUAUGAGUACUGGGGUACAGCAGAGAACUUAAGACUAAAGACUUAAAUGUGGGAACAUCAACAAAGGGUGAUCAACAAUAGGAAUUGAUUAGUUUCCUGAGGAAAUGUUGUAGCUUGUGAGAGCAAACCAAGGCCAGAGCUCUGAAGGUGACAUUUCUUAAAUGAGCCAGCAUACAACAAAGCACUGAAGAGGACUGGGGGCAGUAAAAGUGAGUCAAGGUUCCAGUGACAUUGGAAGACGAAGUAAAAGACUUCCAACAAGGAAGAAAAAAGCCAACAAAAUGAUGACAGGUGUUGGUUUGAUUGGAGUCUAUAUGGCUUUAGAAUUGUUUGAAUGCAUAGGGGCAGAAGCUUUUUCCUGCAAGUUGGUUUAUAGAUUCAGGCUAAAGAAAUGAAGAGUGUUGAGGGUACCCUCUUGAGAAAAAAAGAGUGAAGGAAAAUGCAGAUUAGGAGAGGAGGGUCCUCAAGAGAGAAGGUACUGAGUGAUGGCUAUGGUCCUCAGGAUGAAAUGAGGUCAGUAACUCUGGGAGAAGAUCCUCAUGAGGUUGGAAAUUAGUGUUUGGUAGCCAUCAAAUACCUGAGAAGUUGACAAUCAAGGUGAAUAGAUCUGGCGUGGAGAAGGAGGGGGAGAGUGUGGUAAUGGCAUAUGAUAUAGAAAUGUAGGCUAUAGAUAUGAUAGGAUGAAAGGGUAGAUUAUUAAAUCUGCUUUUAAAGAGCAGCAACUUGUUUAAAAUGUUUUAUAUUGCUAUGGAUUUUAGUUUAUUGAUACAAAUUUAAAGUUAAUUUUGUUAUAUUGUAUGUAUAUUUCUACUCUUGUUUUAAGUAUUUUGUUUGUGCAGCUCAUUUGAAAUUGUAAUGUAUAGUUGAGAAAUACAGAUUAAUAAUUAGUCAUCUAUGAUAAUCAAACUUAUAGUCAUGUUAGUUAAGUUUUCUAGGUAUGCAUAGAUAUAUUUCGAUUAGGUAGUCAAUCUUCAAACACUUCAAAGACCUACAGAAUAUGGCAUUUAAGAUGUUUUAAAAACUUAGGCUUUCCUGGACAAUGAAACAUGUCUGCUCCUGGCAAUACUGAUUUACUUAAAAAAAAAAAAAAAAGAUGGGCAUCAAAGACACUCCAUAUGGAGUUUAUCUUCUUGGCAAAAUAGCCAUUUUGGCAAGAAACUGUUCUUGCCUGGACUGCUUGACAAAAUGUUGUAUCAACUGGACAUGCAGGACCCAUGGGAAAAUGACCACUAAAUUUGUCAAAACAAGGCAAGAUGGUCCUUCAGGUUCCUGCUUUGCAGAGGAGACUGCAAAACAUUCUACAGGACACAGAGAGAAGCAACUGAGAGAUUCUAGGCCUAUAGAUGAAGAAUGAUGCCCCAAUGUUGCAGAGAAACUUUGAGUGACUGUCCAGGUAGCCAGCCUUCUCCACCAUUCUAGAUUUUUGGAAGUUGCUUACAAUGCAUUUCCUGUUUACUUAGGUAAUAUUAUAUCCUUCUGGGAUCUUUGAUCUAGUUGAAGACUAAAUAGCUACAGUUAUAAUUUUCCUUUGUUAUGAUACAAGAUAGAUAUGAAACUUUAGACUCACAAAUAAAGGAUAGAUGAUAAAAUAUUUUCCUUAAUUUUACCAAAUAUAAAUGGACUAGAUAUUGUAAUUGUAAUUCCUGCUUGAUAACUGUUCUAUUAUAUGUAAUUUUACUAUGUUAAAAUUAAAACCUCCUUUUUGAUUAGAUAGAAAAGGGGAAGUGCUGUGGGAUGUUGUUCUGUAUGCUGUGAAUAUGUGUUGCUCUGAUUGAUUGAUAAAUAAAGCACUGAUUGGCCAGUAUCCAGGCAGGAAGUAUAGGCGGGGUGAGCAGAAGAAGAGAAUGCUGGGAAGAGGAAGAGCAGAAUCAGGAGUUGCCAGCCAGACACAGAGGAAGCAAGAUGACAAGGCAGAACUGAGAAAAGGACUAAUAUGAGAAAGAAAGGGAGUUUAUCCCAGAGGUGAAGUGCUAGGGGAUGGUCCCCAAGGAGGGAGCCAGGAAGACAGCAAGACCACACUUUGAACAGGAUGAGCAUGAAUAGUGUCAGGAAUACACAAACAAAAAGCUAAAAUCAGAAUUUGAACUAAUCAUCCACUUUGAAUGUGGCCUGCUGUGGCACACUUCCCCAGGGACAGGAUGACCUCACAGGGUAUGAUUUGAUCCCCACUGACAAAUGGAGCUGCAAACAGAUGUGUGAAGGAAUGGGGCAUUGCCGUGACUCACUGCCACUUCGCCACCAUGUGCCUCCAGAUGAUGCCAGCUUCACCAGUCAUCAGAGGGCAGUCUGUACUCAUCUCUUCUUCGUGGUCUUGUGAAGACUGUACAGAUUUGCCAGUUUUUAAAAAUAUGAGACUUGGAAGCUGGUGAGAUGGCUCAGCGGUUAGAACACUUGCUGCUUUUCCAGAGGACCUGAGUUCCAGUUCCCAGCACCCACAACUAGUGGCUCACAAUCACCUAUAUCUCCAGCUCCAGAGAAACUGAUGCCCUUUUCUGGCCUCUUCAGCCACCCAAGUGUACACACAAACAUACACAAGAAUAAAUGCUAAA
Long non-coding RNA from Peromyscus eremicus (cactus mouse), 2720 nucleotides. RefSeq lists it as uncharacterized. NCBI's taxonomy places the organism in Eukaryota, Metazoa, Chordata, Mammalia, Rodentia, Cricetidae. The transcript has 3 exons. The record is from RefSeq and is a predicted model, not a curated record.